ACGCCGUUUGUAACAAAAUUCAGCCCUUCUAAUUACACGAAGGAAGUAAAUGAAGACGUCACGGGGGCAUGUCAAACGGGCUGCGUGACCUUUGACCACACUUGUCCCUCACAGUGCAUGCAGGGCCAUGUUGUUAUUGUGCAGUCUGGCUCCUAAGCUAGCUAGCUGUACCUUGCUGGUCACCUUCAAGAUUAUACUGCAGGGGAGAUGUCCUGGAGUUACCUGUGCAUGUGUGAUAAUAGAAUCAGACUGAUGCUAAUACAACGAGUGCAGAAGGCAGCUGGAGUGUCUUCAUCACCAUAGCUACUUGUACAAGAUAAUAGCACACCCACGUGGCAUGGUGGCUUGACAGUGACGUUAGCUGAGCUGAAACAGUGUCUGCAGACUGUAGCAGGAUCACUGGAAUCAAAGUCAAAGACGGCUAAAGUGGAGUUUAUGCAUAGCAGGAAAAGCAAACUGUUAAUUGCUAAGGCAUUUGAUGAUGUGAUGAAUAAUGUGUCCAAGGAGAAGUUUGAUAUAACUGCUUAUGGUUCAACAGCUGGAUAAGCCAAUAAAGUUGUUAUAACAUUUGAAGGCGUACAUUGUAGCCCUGACCAAAACCUCUUAGCCGGGCUAUUAAUUAUACACUCAUGUAGCUAAAGUAGUUGACAGUCCCACUUCCCACUGGGAAUGGGUCAACUUCCUAUCUAGAAUGUGUGACAUGAUUUUGAGUUCUAGCAUGGGAAUACUAUACAACGUACCUCCUAAAGUUACAAAGAGUGUGUAGGGGGAUACGUAUAUAUGUACGACAGGGUCAAUAAGGUCCACUUUUACCAUGCUGAAGAGUUAGCUCCUCUUUUUGAUCAGUUAUUUGUGGAAACUUUUAACAGGGGAAGGAUGAAGUGCGUGAAUGAUAACCCCAUGUGAUAUUUUAUGACCUUUUGACUGUUUCAUUGUCAUACCCCAGUGACUAGUGAAGUACGCUGUAAAUGUCACAUGAUAUUGGUCCUUCACUCUCAUUGAUCAUAUUGAUUCAUUGGUAGCUGACCAGUUCAACUCCAACCCUUCAACCCUCCUGGCCUGGAAUUGAGGCUACUUUUGUUGUAGUUGUGGUGCACUGUGGCCGGUGUGAAGUCUAUAAUUAUAGUAUUCCAGUAUUUCAUACCCCACCCCCUAGCUAAUUACUGAAAAGUUUACUUUGCGCCUAUUUCACCGUACAUAUAAUUAUAGGUUAUAGUCGUAAAUAUCGCAUAUAUAUAGCCGAUAAUAUUAUAGCUUUGUAUUUAUGUCCAUGCAUUGGGUAAGUGUGUCAUGGUGGAAUGUAAUUUCUAUAAGCAUGCACACGUUGUUAAUUUGCUUAGUCUUAUACGUACACUAUUGGUCUUCUCACCCCCCCCCCACACACUCAUUAUUUUAACCAUGUAUUUGACUAUGUUUCACCAUGAUAGUGUACAAUGAUGUACUGGUAUAUAUACAAUUGUAGAUCCUGUACUCGUUCAUUUUAGUGAGUGCACCACUUUCUGAUUGACUAUAAAAUUCAUCUAGAUGUACAUACAUUCUUCCAUUGCAGAAUUGAAUUGCCAACAAAAGAGCAUGUAGGAAAAGAGUGUGUGGUCGAAAUAAUGAUGAUGAUGAUGAUGAUACUGUGUGCAAAGAAACUGCCACAAAAUAUAUUCGUAAAAGGAGUUCUUCACUAAAAAAGAGGGUGUUUCAAUGUUUUUAUGACAGAAAUAAGGCUGCAUCAGAAAAGUGGAAAGAAAUUAAACAAAGAUGUAUACUCUUGUGUUACCAAAAUCUGCUGACCGAAAGAGAUUAAUUGCGAAGCCACAUUUAACAACAGCUGAACAGAAAAUAUUCGCUUGCUGUGGAGACUUAGAGGCGAAAGUUCCCUAUAAGUAUCAGAUCGGAGCAUGUUGGACUGUCUCGUGGUGUCUCCCUCUUUCAUCCCUCUGUUUUACCUCUACCUCCACUUAAAAGAAAUUUAUGACACACUUCCUUUGAUCAAGUUUUUUGGUGUACCUCCAAAACUGCUCCUCAGGCUGAAUUUGAUCAGUCAUAAUAAUUAUUUCAAGGGCCAACUCACUUCAUCGUCUAGCAGCACCUUAGUUGGUCAUACUACAUUGUUGACUGUCUCAGAUCAAGACUGCCUUAGUAUACUGUACCUAUAAUGGCUUCACCAUGCACAAUGUCAAUUGUUGUUUACUACUUUACAUCACUACCGUAUAGAGAGUAAUUUUUGUGGGUUAAAAUAUUCAUUAUUUUCUUGCUUGG
Halichondria panicea is the source of this 2250-nucleotide long non-coding RNA. RefSeq lists it as uncharacterized. Lineage: Eukaryota; Metazoa; Porifera; Demospongiae; Suberitida; Halichondriidae. The record is from RefSeq and is a predicted model, not a curated record. The transcript is spliced from 6 exons.